GCUAGUCACUGCUGUAGGGUGUAGGGCAGUGAGGGACGCAGGGGGAGGUAGCGGACUGGUCACAGGGGGGUAGGAGGAGUUCCUUGGGAUCUCAUUUUUGCUCAGAGGCCCAUACCAGACACUGACUCCUCUCGAGAUGUUCCCUGCUUUCAGUACCAUUUGCUGCUACUUUUUAACCUGUUAGUCCAAGUAGCAAUUGUGGUAAAUUACUUUGUGCCUGUUCCCUAAAGGACUUUGGGAUACAUUAUUAAGUUGUUUUGUUGGAUUCAGUGACAUGCGUUUUGUUAUGUGACCGGCCGAGGUGUUGCUGCAGGAGUCUAUUGACCUCAGAGUGGAGUUUGUUAACAGGAGAGUCUAUGGAGAGGAUCGGGAAGAGUGUGGUCCUCCUGGUGGGGGUGUGUGGAUACUGGUCUGUCGUCUCUGCUGGCGUGGCACCUACGAGAGGCGCCCUCCUAGACGACCAACACGACUACACCCCUCAAGACGACACCCAUGCCCACAGAGACGACCAUACCUCAGAGGAUAAUCACAUCUUUAACGCCCUUCAAAACAAUGACUCCAAUUUUCAAGACGACCACAAUGUUUCCAAGGAAAUCAAUGUAAUAAAAAAUGGCCCCACUGUCCCCUUAAAUUCUCCCAAGGAACACAGAAGAACUCCCCGGACAUUGGACACCCAGGCGGGUCUCUCAGCGCUGGCCCUUACAUCCUUCGCCCUCUUCUUCAAGUAUAUAGUGUACCAUGGCCUUAACUCAUACUUCAAGGACGAGGAGGAGAGAUCGCUACAACACGACUUUAUUGACAUGAAAAACAUCUUCAUUUGCCUUGACGGAGAGAAGACCUUAUUGCAGUGUCUCUUCAACUCUGACUGACAAGGAUGGUGACCUAUCUGACGGGGCUGACUCGCUACUCGAACUGACGAAAUUCCUAACCUGACGGAGGAGGUUUGAGAGAUGAAGAUGAAUAUAUCCCCAGUCCUUCUUAUCUUGGUAAUUUGGAUCAACUUGAGAAGAACAGGAGGAAGAGGAGGGGGGAGAGGAGGAGGAGGAGGAGGUUAGUGAAAGCCCAGUCCUACACUCUUGACCUGACGAAGAUCCUGAUCUAUUUAGCAACAAGUAAAGAGAAAUUGCUGCAGUGUCUCUUCCUCAGGCAUUGUAACUAGACCUGAGGAUGACAUUAAUGGAGGAAGAGGAGGAGGAGGAGGAGGAGGAGGAAAAAAUUGGGCCACAGAAGAAAAGAAGAAAAUUAGAAGAAGACAAAGAAUCGACUUUUACAGGUCAAGAAAGUACAAUCGGGGAGUUAAGACAAUAUUGACGGACCUCUUCACCUGGGACUCUUCCGGAUCACAAACCACCACCACCACCACCACCACCACCACCACCACAACAACAACAACA
Long non-coding RNA from Homarus americanus (American lobster), 1394 nucleotides. RefSeq lists it as uncharacterized. The record is from RefSeq and is a predicted model, not a curated record. The transcript is spliced from 2 exons. Lineage: Eukaryota; Metazoa; Arthropoda; Malacostraca; Decapoda; Nephropidae.